This 64-nucleotide transfer RNA is filed under the name Staphylinidae sp. BMNH 1274219. RNAcentral's name for it is "tRNA-Trp". Lineage: Eukaryota; Metazoa; Arthropoda; Insecta; Coleoptera; Staphylinidae. The record is from RNAcentral.
AAGGAUUUAAGUUAAAAUAAACUUAUAGCCUUCAAAGCUAAAAAUAAAGAUUCUUUAAGCCUUA